GAUGAACGCUAGCGGGAGGCUUAAUACAUGCAAGUCGAGGGGUAACAGGGGCUUCGGCCCGCUGACGACCGGCGCACGGGUGAGUAACGCGUACGCAACUUACCUCCAAGCGAGGGAUAGCCCUGGGAAACUGGGAUUAAUACCUCAUGUGAUUAUGAUGCCGCAUGGUGUUAUAAUUAAAGUUCAGGCGCUUGGAGAUGGGCGUGCGUCCUAUUAGCUAGUUGGUGAGGUAACGGCUCACCAAGGCGACGAUAGGUAGGGGGCGUGAGAGCGUGGCCCCCCCANACGGGUACUGAGACACGGACCCGACUCCUACGGGAGGCAGCAGUGGGGAAUAUUGGACAAUGGGCGCAAGCCUGAUCCAGCAAUGCCGCGUGUGUGAAGAAGGCCUGCGGGUUGUAAAGCACUUUUGUUCGGGAAGAAAUCAUGUCGGUUAAUACCCGAUGUGGAUGACGGUACCGAAAGAAUAAGCACCGGCUAACUUCGUGCCAGCAGCCGCGGUAAAGUG
Molecule: ribosomal RNA, 508 nt
Filed under: uncultured bacterium
Lineage: Bacteria
Description: bacterial SSU rRNA
Rfam family: Bacterial small subunit ribosomal RNA
Source: RNAcentral